CUGUGCGCCUCCAAGAUCCCGGAUGCGCAGGCGGCCUAUGAGAGCGCCAAUACGCUCAAUUCCACGGUUCUGGCCGGAACCAACUUCGUGCUG
Molecule: non-coding RNA, 93 nt
Organism: Aquamicrobium defluvii
Lineage: Bacteria; Pseudomonadati; Pseudomonadota; Alphaproteobacteria; Hyphomicrobiales; Phyllobacteriaceae
Source: Rfam